RNAcentral lists this unclassified non-coding RNA (20 nucleotides) under Mus musculus (house mouse). RNAcentral describes it as "oocyte_clustered_small_RNA11211". The record is from RNAcentral. Lineage: Eukaryota; Metazoa; Chordata; Mammalia; Rodentia; Muridae.
UGACACUUGGGAAACUGGCA